RNAcentral lists this ribosomal RNA (713 nucleotides) under Cytobacillus oceanisediminis. RNAcentral describes it as "bacterial SSU rRNA". It matches the Rfam family "Bacterial small subunit ribosomal RNA", at positions 57 to 753 of the family's 1533-position model. The record is from RNAcentral. Lineage: Bacteria; Bacillati; Bacillota; Bacilli; Caryophanales; Bacillaceae.
GCAAGUCGAGCGGACUUUUGGGAGCUUGCUCCCAGAAGUCAGCGGCGGACGGGUGAGUAACACGUGGGCAACCUGCCUGUAAGACUGGGAUAACUCCGGGAAACCGGGGCUAAUACCGGAUAAUUCUUUCCCUCACAUGAGGGAAAGCUGAAAGAUGGUUUCGGCUAUCACUUACAGAUGGGCCCGCGGCGCAUUAGCUAGUUGGUGAGGUAACGGCUCACCAAGGCAACGAUGCGUAGCCGACCUGAGAGGGUGAUCGGCCACACUGGGACUGAGACACGGCCCAGACUCCUACGGGAGGCAGCAGUAGGGAAUCUUCCGCAAUGGACGAAAGUCUGACGGAGCAACGCCGCGUGAGUGAUGAAGGUUUUCGGAUCGUAAAACUCUGUUGUUAGGGAAGAACAAGUACCGGAGUAACUGCCGGUACCUUGACGGUACCUAACCAGAAAGCCACGGCUAACUACGUGCCAGCAGCCGCGGUAAUACGUAGGUGGCAAGCGUUGUCCGGAAUUAUUGGGCGUAAAGCGCGCGCAGGCGGUUCCUUAAGUCUGAUGUGAAAGCCCACGGCUCAACCGUGGAGGGUCAUUGGAAACUGGGGAACUUGAGUGCAGAAGAGGAGAGUGGAAUUCCACGUGUAGCGGUGAAAUGCGUAGAGAUGUGGAGGAACACCAGUGGCGAAGGCGACUCUCUGGUCUGUAACUGACGCUGAGGCG